CUACGGGGGGCUCCAGUGGGGAAUAUUGGACAAUGGACCAAAAGUCUGAUCCAGCAAUUCUGUGUGUUUGAUGAAGGCCUUCGGGUUGUAAAGAACUUUAAGCAGGGAAGAAGAAAGUGACGGUACCUGCAGAAUAAGCGACGGCUAAAUACGUGCCAGCAGCCGCGGUAAUACGUAUGUCGCAAGCGUUAUCCGGAAUUAUUGGGCAUAAAGGGCGUCUAGGCGGUCUAGUAAGUCUGAUGUGAAAAUGCGGGGCUCAACUCCGUAUUGCGUUGGAAACUGCUAGACUAGAGUUUUGGAGAGGUAGGCGGAACUACAAGUGUAGAGGUGAAAUUCGUAGAGAUUUGUAGGAAUGCCGAUGACGAAGGUAGCUUACUGGACAAAUACUGACGCUGAAGCGCGAAAGCUAGGGGAGCAAACAGGAUUAGAUACCCCAGUAGUC
RNAcentral lists this ribosomal RNA (442 nucleotides) under uncultured bacterium. RNAcentral describes it as "partial 16S ribosomal RNA". It matches the Rfam family "Bacterial small subunit ribosomal RNA", at positions 339 to 795 of the family's 1533-position model. The record is from RNAcentral.